GCCUCGGUGGCCUAGUGGUUAGGGCAUCUGCCUCGUAAGCAGAGGAUCGCGGGUUCGAACUCAUCUGUGAGUGUCACAGACGAAGAAACUCCCGCCCGGGGCUCCA
This 106-nucleotide transfer RNA is filed under the name Candidatus Thorarchaeota archaeon. RNAcentral describes it as "tRNA-Thr". It matches the Rfam family "tRNA". From Rfam's summary of the family: Transfer RNA (tRNA) molecules are approximately 80 nucleotides in length. Their secondary structure includes four short double-helical elements and three loops (D, anti-codon, and T loops). Lineage: Archaea; Promethearchaeati; Candidatus Thorarchaeota. The record is from RNAcentral.